Coturnix japonica (Japanese quail) is the source of this 1102-nucleotide long non-coding RNA. Lineage: Eukaryota; Metazoa; Chordata; Aves; Galliformes; Phasianidae. The record is from Ensembl.
GUUUUAGCAAAGAAUAGUAUCAUAGUCAGUGAUUAUUGGGAGUUAUCUUAUUUAUAGGACCAGAUCACUUCAUUCAUCUCAGCAUCCAUCAUGGUACACAGUGCAUAGAUGUUGACUUGGAAAGACACUAAAAGAGAACAGAGAGGAGAAAUAGUUUCUCUGCAGGAAUUAUAUCAGAGUAUAGAAGAAAAGGACAAAUUUUGUGUUCACAAUACACUUCUCAAGUUUGAAAUGGAAGAAGCAAUUUUCAAAGCUAAAGAGAAGGUAAGAAAACUCCUCAGAUGUUUACUUCAUUGUGGUAACUGGUUGAUCUAAUCUAAAUGAAAAGAUGAGUGGGAUUUAUAGUGAAAGAAGGGGAUCAGCUCCUGUGGGAAUAGUCAAACAUGAGUUAAUCAAAGAUGUGGAAAUGAUAAUGUGCCAUAGAAGUUGUAUCUAAGUUGAGCCUAUGAAUGUUGAUGUCAAUAUAUAUUUCAGUUCUCAUCCAUGUCUUUUGAAAAUAUUUUAUAGAAGCCUUCUCUAGUACAUUUUUGAUGUACUGUGGGUGGGUUUUGUUUUACGGUGAUGUGUCUUUAUUUUUACAUUGCAGUUUGCUAGCUACCUUUGUGUAGAAACAUCUCACUGAAAAGGUGAUAGAUUCUAAAUCACGGUGGAAAGUUAAAAGUAGGCCACUUUCUGAGUCUAGAUGUUGAAGAUGCCAUCUGCGUGCUAGGGAUGGAUAUGCAGAACACAAAGACAGCAGCUUGUGAAAUCGCUGGAGCUGUCUGGAAAGCAAAAGUAUUUGUGAAUUUCUCUUUAAAACUGGAAUAUAAUCUGGUGUUUUUCUUGAGUUUAAUCAGGUCCUGGUUAACAAAGAGGGCUUCCUGCAUAGAUUGCUGAAUCAGCUUAGGAAAACUUCUAGAAAUUUCUAUUCUUCACAACUAAAUCAUGCUGGAAAGCACAUACAGGUGCAACUGUAGCAUUCAAGCUCACCUGGUUUUAUUUUAUUAAAAGCAGGUGAGGAUGUAGUAUCAUAGGAGUGUAUGAUGUAGCAUUUAGCUGCUCUUUUUAGGUACUUUUUUUUCUCCAUUGAAGUACUCUACUCAAGGGAUGGAACAACCCUAAU